This 1536-nucleotide ribosomal RNA is filed under the name Klebsiella quasipneumoniae. RNAcentral's name for it is "bacterial SSU rRNA". It matches the Rfam family "Bacterial small subunit ribosomal RNA". The record is from RNAcentral. Lineage: Bacteria; Pseudomonadati; Pseudomonadota; Gammaproteobacteria; Enterobacterales; Enterobacteriaceae.
UUGAAGAGUUUGAUCAUGGCUCAGAUUGAACGCUGGCGGCAGGCCUAACACAUGCAAGUCGAGCGGUAGCACAGAGAGCUUGCUCUCGGGUGACGAGCGGCGGACGGGUGAGUAAUGUCUGGGAAACUGCCUGAUGGAGGGGGAUAACUACUGGAAACGGUAGCUAAUACCGCAUAAUGUCGCAAGACCAAAGUGGGGGACCUUCGGGCCUCAUGCCAUCAGAUGUGCCCAGAUGGGAUUAGCUAGUAGGUGGGGUAACGGCUCACCUAGGCGACGAUCCCUAGCUGGUCUGAGAGGAUGACCAGCCACACUGGAACUGAGACACGGUCCAGACUCCUACGGGAGGCAGCAGUGGGGAAUAUUGCACAAUGGGCGCAAGCCUGAUGCAGCCAUGCCGCGUGUGUGAAGAAGGCCUUCGGGUUGUAAAGCACUUUCAGCGGGGAGGAAGGCGAUAAGGUUAAUAACCUUGUCGAUUGACGUUACCCGCAGAAGAAGCACCGGCUAACUCCGUGCCAGCAGCCGCGGUAAUACGGAGGGUGCAAGCGUUAAUCGGAAUUACUGGGCGUAAAGCGCACGCAGGCGGUCUGUCAAGUCGGAUGUGAAAUCCCCGGGCUCAACCUGGGAACUGCAUUCGAAACUGGCAGGCUAGAGUCUUGUAGAGGGGGGUAGAAUUCCAGGUGUAGCGGUGAAAUGCGUAGAGAUCUGGAGGAAUACCGGUGGCGAAGGCGGCCCCCUGGACAAAGACUGACGCUCAGGUGCGAAAGCGUGGGGAGCAAACAGGAUUAGAUACCCUGGUAGUCCACGCCGUAAACGAUGUCGAUUUGGAGGUUGUGCCCUUGAGGCGUGGCUUCCGGAGCUAACGCGUUAAAUCGACCGCCUGGGGAGUACGGCCGCAAGGUUAAAACUCAAAUGAAUUGACGGGGGCCCGCACAAGCGGUGGAGCAUGUGGUUUAAUUCGAUGCAACGCGAAGAACCUUACCUGGUCUUGACAUCCACAGAACUUAGCAGAGAUGCUUUGGUGCCUUCGGGAACUGUGAGACAGGUGCUGCAUGGCUGUCGUCAGCUCGUGUUGUGAAAUGUUGGGUUAAGUCCCGCAACGAGCGCAACCCUUAUCCUUUGUUGCCAGCGGUUAGGCCGGGAACUCAAAGGAGACUGCCAGUGAUAAACUGGAGGAAGGUGGGGAUGACGUCAAGUCAUCAUGGCCCUUACGACCAGGGCUACACACGUGCUACAAUGGCGCAUACAAAGAGAAGCGACCUCGCGAGAGCAAGCGGACCUCAUAAAGUGCGUCGUAGUCCGGAUUGGAGUCUGCAACUCGACUCCAUGAAGUCGGAAUCGCUAGUAAUCGUAGAUCAGAAUGCUACGGUGAAUACGUUCCCGGGCCUUGUACACACCGCCCGUCACACCAUGGGAGUGGGUUGCAAAAGAAGUAGGUAGCUUAACCUUCGGGAGGGCGCUUACCACUUUGUGAUUCAUGACUGGGGUGAAGUCGUAACAAGGUAACCGUAGGGGAACCUGCGGUUGGAUCACCUCCUU